CUUUGAGUUGAGUACCCAGAAUUGAGUAUCUUAUCAUUGAGUUGAACUAUGUUUCUUAUUUUUGAGUUGAAUUUAGUUGAGUGAGUUGAGAGAACGUAAUUAUGUUUUCUUUUUAUCAAGUUCAAGCUUAUAUUUAUUCUAUAGAAUUCCCUUACAUGCUUGAACAUACCACGUACUGAUCCAUUUGGCCUGCAUCGUUUCAUGAUGCAUGUACAAGUAUCCAGGAUCAUCAACAAAAACUUCAUUGAUAUCAUAUAGAGUUUAAGUUAGCUAUGGUGAGUCUCCUUAUUUUCGAAGGGUUCCACUUGUACUUUCAGUUAUAUCAAUUGUUAGG
Molecule: unclassified non-coding RNA, 334 nt
Filed under: Hevea brasiliensis (rubber tree)
Lineage: Eukaryota; Viridiplantae; Streptophyta; Magnoliopsida; Malpighiales; Euphorbiaceae
Source: RNAcentral